AUUUUCUGCUUCUUCCACCACGUCGCGCCCCGAGAUCUUCUUCAUCCCCUCCCAUGGCCCCCCAACCUUUGGCUGUCUCCUCCUGGAUUGUCCCCACGAGGGGACGAGGUUGGGAGACACCAAACUCAACGAAGGCCCCAGACGAGAUUUUGGAUUUCCAAACCCCUCGUUAGAUCGACGAGACCCCAAAAACACAACUCGGACCCCAAAAACACAACUCGGACCCCAAAAAACUCAACUUGGACCCCAAAACCACAACUCGGACCCCAAAAACGCAACUCGGACCCCAAAACCGCAACUCGGACCCCAAAAACACAACUCGGACCCCAAAAACGCAACUCGGACCACAAAAACACAACUCGGACCCCAAAAACCACAACUCGGACCCCAAAAACACAACUCAGACCCCAAAAACACAACUCGGACCCCAAAAACGCAACUCGGACCCCAAAAACACAACUCGGACCCCAAAAACUCAACUUGGACCCCAAAAACUCAACUCAGACCCCAAAAACUCAACUCAGACCCCAAAAACCACAACUCGGACCCCAAAACCACAACUCAGACCCCCAAACCACAACUCAGACCCCAAAAACGCAACUCGGACCCCAAAACCACAACUCGGACCCCAAAACCACAACUUGGACCCCAAAACCACAACUCGGACCCCAAAAAACAGAACUCGGACCCCAAAAACGCAACUCGGACCUCAAAAACGCAACUUGGACCACAAAAACACAACUCGGACCCCAAAAAACACAACUCAGACCCCAAAAACACAACUCGGACCCCAAAAACGCAACUCGGACCCCAAAAACACAACUCGGACGCCAAAAACACAACUUGGACCCCAAAAACCACAACUCGGACCCCAAAAACACAACUUGGACCCCAAAUACACAACUCGGAACCCAAAACCACAACUUGGACUCUAAAACCACAACUCGGACCCCAAAUACACAACUCAGACCCCAAAAACUCAACUCGGACCCCAAAAACACAGCUCGGACCCCAAAAACGCAACUCGGACCCCAAAACCGCAACUCAGACCCCAAAACCCACAACUCAGACCCCAAAAAACUCAACUUGGACUCCAAAAACACAACUUGGACCCCAAAAACGCAACUCGGACCCCAAAAACCACAACUUGGACCCCAAAACCACAACUCGGACCCCAAAAACACAACUCGGACCCCAAAACUGCAACUCGGGCCCCAAAACCACAACUCGGACCCCAAAAAACACAACUUGGACCCCAAAAACACAACUUGGACCUCAAAAACGCAACUUGGACCCCAAAAACACAGCUCAGACCCCAAAACCACAACUAGGAUCCCAAAACCACAACUUGGACCCCAAAAACACAGCUCGGACCACAAAAAUGCAACUCGGACCCCAAAAACACAACUUGGACCCCAAAAACACAACUGGGACCCCAAAAAACACAACUGGGACCCCAAAAACAAAACUCGGACCCCAAAAACACAACUCAGACCCCAAAAACCAGAACUCGGACCCCAAAACCACAACUUGGACCCCAAAACCACAACUCGGACACCAAAACCACGACUGAGACCCCAAAACCACAACUCAGACCCCCCCAAAAACUUGAGGACGCCCAAGGUGACGACUCCGACCGCCGUCCCCUCGCCGCGGUGGCCACCAGGACUCACCUGGCCCGGCCGCUCUCCUCCUCCAAGGGGACGGAGCCGGGCAGGGGCGGCUCCUCCUUGA
Lonchura striata (white-rumped munia) is the source of this 1734-nucleotide long non-coding RNA. The record is from Ensembl. Lineage: Eukaryota; Metazoa; Chordata; Aves; Passeriformes; Estrildidae.